GACGGAUUACAAUUAUUACAAUCACUCGACCAUUGAGAAGCCCCUCAAUUCAAAUCCCGUCAGUUUGACAACAGUUGUCAUUUCCAUUUUUGUUUACCUCCUGUUUCUGAUUCAAAAAUCAAUGAAUCGAGGCGAGUUUGUUUAAUGUUUUUAUCCUCCAUACAGUGUAAGCAGGUGCGGUCGACAAAUAUUAAUAUAUAUAAAUAGUUCCCAGUGAAGUUCUUGAUAUGAGCUUUUCGUUUGGAACUUCUGAAAAAUCAAAACCAGCAUCAGCAGCUGUCGGACAUCAACCUUGUAGGCGACGAUUGACGGAUGGCUAAAAGGUAAACUAGCUCCCGAACCAUCGGUGGGGUAUUGUCCCAGCUCUGCGAAUCGCUGAUCCUAGGCAUUAUCGAAAGUUACCAGCUACGGAAUCGAUUAAUCCACCAGAAACUGUCGCAGUUUUACCAGCUACGGAAUCAAUUAAUCCGCCAGCAACCGUCGCAGUUCUACAAUUCCGAGCUCCACGGAUGUCCCAAGAAUAUUACAGAUUCCCACACGACAGGCCCAAUUGCCCAACAGUAAACCAGUGGUCUUUUAACGAAUAAGAAAAACAGGGUGUGCGGGUGCAAACAUUUACGGCACCUAAGACGAAUGGAACCAAGACCGAUGAAAUCGCGCGGUCCGGUCUGGAAGGUCCAACCGGACGUAAAAAAUCAUUCCCGGAUAACGUGAAGAUCUUUUCGAUGUUGGAUACAAUUUGAUUGCGGCCUAGUCUUGUUGUUCCCGGAAGUGGCCGACAAGAAGAACAGACGGCGCACAGCUCAAGACAGAGGAGAAAUGAAACGUGAGCCAGGUAGGCUGUUAUUGCUUUUUGAACCAAAAGCUGCUAUUCAAUGCUGCUGUUUCAAUAACAUCCGGAUCACAGAUUUGUCAACGGAUUGGUCUCGGUGCGGUCAGUCGCAACUGUUCCAUUUCCAUCAAUCUUUCCACCAUCUACAGUACCCUCAGCCAAGUCACCAGUUCCGGAAUUGCCUGCCAUCAAAAGUUCACCCAGUUGUGAUCCUGGGCUUGCUACAAAUGAUGUUUCAUCCACCUCACAGAUUAGAAGCUGAUAGGAAUGAAAUUGCUUCUAUCAGUUCUGACAUUGGGUGCCAUGAAUGAUGUUCCCUCGCUGCUAGUAAUGCAGCAAUAAUCAGGCAUCCGACAAUAUAAAGGCUGCAUACCUCCUGGCUGUCCUCUGCGGCAACGCCAGCCCAUCGAGUGCCGACAUCGAGAAGAUCCCGAGCUCGGUUGGUAUCGAGGCCGAUUCAACUCACGUCACCAAGGUGGUCAACGAGCUGAAGGGCAAGUCGGUGGAGGAACUGAUGGCCUCCGGUCGCGAGAAGCUCUUGUCGAUACCAGCUGGUAGAGCCGCUCCAGCUGACGAUGCUUGUGCUCCUGCCGUUGGUGCUGCUGCCGCUCCUGCUGAAGAUUAGAAGGAAGAGUCGGAAUCGGAGGACGACUUUCGGUCGUCGGGGGCUUCGGUCUCUUUUAAUAAGAAGGGAUUCAACCAUAUCAUUGGAAUGUGACGAUGACCAUUCGUACGAAAGGUACAAAUAUUUAUUUCUGUGAAUUAAAUAACCAAAAAAUUGUGACGUCUGAUUCCAAACAUACAUAUACUCAAUCCAGUUGAAACCCAAAAUUGGGUGCUAGCGAAGUUGGA
This is a long non-coding RNA of Armigeres subalbatus, 1684 nucleotides long. RefSeq lists it as uncharacterized. The transcript has 3 exons. The record is from RefSeq and is a predicted model, not a curated record. Lineage: Eukaryota; Metazoa; Arthropoda; Insecta; Diptera; Culicidae.